Molecule: unclassified non-coding RNA, 334 nt
Filed under: soil metagenome
Description: partial contains 5.8S ribosomal RNA, internal transcribed spacer 2, and large subunit ribosomal RNA
Rfam family: 5.8S ribosomal RNA (bases 1-120)
Source: RNAcentral
GAUGAAGAACGCAGCGAAAUGCGAUAAGUAAUGUGAAUUGCAGAAUUCAGUGAAUCAUCGAAUCUUUGAACGCACAUUGCGCCUGCCAGCACUCUGGCAGGCAUGCCUGUUCGAGCGUCAUUUCAACCAUCAAGCCCUAGGCUUGCGUUGGGGCCCUGCGGCUGCCGCAGGCCCCUAAAAGCAGUGGCGGGCUCGCUAUCACACCGAGUGCAGUAGAUUACUCUUCGCUCAGGGCGUGUGGCGGGUUCCAGCCGUGAAACCCCCUACUUCUCAAGGUUGACCUCGGAUCAGGUAGGAAUACCCGCUGAACUUAAGCAUAUCAAUAAGCGGAGGA